AGACAGCAGCAGCCACGGUAAUACGGAGGGUGCAAGCGUUAAUCGGAAUUACUGGGCGUAAAGCGCACGCAGGCGGUUUGUUAAGUCAGAUGUGAAAUCCCCGAGCUUAACUUGGGAACUGCAUUUGAAACUGGCAAGCUAGAGUCUUGUAGAGGGGGGUAGAAUUCCAGGUGUAGUGGUGAAAUGCGUAGAGAUCUGGAGGAAUACCGGUGGCGAAGGCGGCUUACUGGCUCAUUCUAGACGCUGAGGUGCGAAAGCGUGGGGAGCAAACAGGAUUAGAUACCCCAGUAGUCCCUGUCUCUUAUAC
This 307-nucleotide ribosomal RNA is filed under the name uncultured bacterium. RNAcentral describes it as "partial 16S ribosomal RNA". It matches the Rfam family "Bacterial small subunit ribosomal RNA", at positions 506 to 807 of the family's 1533-position model. The record is from RNAcentral.